Molecule: unclassified non-coding RNA, 240 nt
Filed under: soil metagenome
Description: partial contains 5.8S ribosomal RNA, internal transcribed spacer 2, and large subunit ribosomal RNA
Source: RNAcentral
AACCUAGCACACCUGCGGUGUGUACCUGCGGAGGGAUCAUUAACCUUUCAAAUCAGGGUGCGGCGCGGCCCCCGAGGAGCGGAAACAAUCCUUGGGAGGUAUGCGGGGGCUUCGAGCCCCCCAUUUACGCACGCACGACUGCCAUCCUUACUUUACGAGCGCCUUCUGUUCUCCCUCGGCGGGGCAACCUGCCGUUGGAACCGAAUAAACUCUUUUUGCAUCUAGCAUUACCUGUUCCGA